Molecule: non-coding RNA, 743 nt
Organism: Schizosaccharomyces pombe (fission yeast)
Lineage: Eukaryota; Fungi; Ascomycota; Schizosaccharomycetes; Schizosaccharomycetales; Schizosaccharomycetaceae
Source: the annotation of a GenBank genome assembly
UAUUGAGCUUAUCCAUUCUAAAGGAACAUCAUCUAUGUGAAAAAAAGAUGCUUUAAUAGAACUUCCAAGAUGAUCAACUGUAUGAGUCUCACUGACAAGAUGGUCAAUAGCAUGUCCAAUUUGUUCCACUUUCAUAGGACCCGGGGGAAGCCCACAAAUAUUUUUUAUUUCAUCUGAUUUACUAUAGUAUUCUCUCUCAGCUGGUGUGGAUGAAAUUUGGGUGCCAUUGACAAAUCCAUUCAUCGCUGAGCUCGAAACACCAGCAGCAUAAGAACCACGAAGCAAUCGAUUUCGACGAAUUCGUAACUCAUAAUUUUUCUUUUUCCAAAAAAGGUCAUUAGAAGAGUCUAAAAUAGUUUGAAAGGAUGGGAAUACACGUAUGAAACUUUGGAUAUCCUGAACAGAAAGAAACCUGCAGAUCAAUGGGAUAAUUUCAAGUGGCAGUCUAUAAAAUUUGCAGCUAUGUAAAUGUUGAGCACUCAUAUAACUAAGAAUUUGCUGACUGGGUGCUUGACUGAAAAGAAAGAACAAAUUGCAUUAGAAGAAUUGCUUGUUGGUUGGGUAUGUGCAAAUUUAAGAGUAGUAAAAAUACCAGAACUAGUUUAUGAAUGAGCAACGAACAUUAAAAUAAAUCCAAUCUUUUAAAAUAAAAUACAUUCCUUAACCUAUAUAAUUAUUUCUCUCCGAAGCAUGCUGUCGUUACAGAAAUACUUUAACCAUCUGCAAAUUGAAAGAAUUCCCAU